GAAGCGUGGGAAGCAAGAAGAGGGCGGAGCUUGGAGGGGACACCCGGGCUGCCCUCUCGGGUCCUUCAAAACCGCCCC
This is a microRNA precursor of Cricetulus griseus (Chinese hamster), 78 nucleotides long. The record is from Ensembl. Lineage: Eukaryota; Metazoa; Chordata; Mammalia; Rodentia; Cricetidae.